RNAcentral lists this transfer RNA (77 nucleotides) under Alphaproteobacteria bacterium. RNAcentral describes it as "tRNA-Met". It matches the Rfam family "tRNA". From Rfam's summary of the family: Transfer RNA (tRNA) molecules are approximately 80 nucleotides in length. Their secondary structure includes four short double-helical elements and three loops (D, anti-codon, and T loops). RNAcentral also lists the same sequence under 1 other name. The record is from RNAcentral. Lineage: Bacteria; Pseudomonadati; Pseudomonadota; Alphaproteobacteria.
AGCGGGAUAGAGCAGCCCGGUAGCUCGUCAGGCUCAUAACCUGAAGGUCGGUGGUUCAAAUCCAUCUCCCGCAACCA